GUAAAGAUUAACUUCUACAGCUGAAUCUACAGUGGGAAUUUCAGGAAUCCUUCCACAUAUCUGAAGGCAUAAUUCACCCAUGACAUAAACAGGCCUGGUAGAAAAAUGUCAGCCUUUCAGUCUUUUAAAUGAUGGAGUUAAGCAAAACACACUAGAAGAUGAACGUGCAGCCUGAGCCUGCUCUCUAGGUUGAAGCAUGUUCUUCAUAUUCAUAUUAAUGAGCUGCUUCUCAUGAAGCAACCCAUUAAACGUAAUAGGGGAGCUAUCGGGUCAUGUGGACUUCGUUUAAUGUGGAAGAUGAUAAACAUAUUCUAGAGGAUCUUCUACUAACGAUGUCUGAGUCAUUGCAUCAAUGUGUUGAAUUUUCUUUUCUGAUGGCACACUGACAUGAAAGAGAAAACUUAUCUGUCUACAAC
Molecule: long non-coding RNA, 416 nt
Organism: Mauremys reevesii (Reeves's turtle)
Lineage: Eukaryota; Metazoa; Chordata; Testudines; Geoemydidae
Exons: 4
Source: RefSeq, a predicted model, not a curated record